AGACCCGAAACCCGGUGAUCUAGCCAUGGGCAGGUUGAAGGUUGGGUAACACUAACUGGAGGACCGAACCGACUAAUGUUGAAAAAUUAGCGGAUGACCUGUGGCUGGGGGUGAAAGGCCAAUCAAACCGGGAGAUAGCUGGUUCUCCCCGAAAGCUAUUUAGGUAGCGCCUCGUGAAUUCAUCUCCGGGGGUAGAGCACUGUUUCGGCUAGGGGGCCAUCCCGGCUUACCAACCCGAUGCAAACUGCGAAUACCGGAGAAUGUUAUCACGGGAGACACACGGCGGGUGCUAACGUCCGUCGUGAAGAGGGAAACAACCCAGACCGCCAGCUAAGGUCCCAAAGUCAUGGUUAAGUGGGAAACGAUGUGGGAAGGCCCAGACAGCCAGGAUGUUGGCUUAGAAGCAGCCAUCAUUUAAAGAAAGCGUAAUAGCUCACUGGUCGAGUCGGCCUGCGCGGAAGAUGUAACGGGGCUAAACCAUGCACCGAAGCUGCGGCAGCGAACGUAUCACUUAAAGCGAUUCAGCGGGUUACGAUUGACGGAGCGAAGCGACGUCAAAGCGUAUACAAAGUCGAGUCGGUUUAAGGAUACGUUCGUUGGGUAGGGGAGCGUUCUGUAAGCCUGUGAAGGUGUGUCGUGAGGCAUGCUGGAGGUAUCAGAAGUGCGAAUGCUGACAUAAGUAACGAUAAAGCGGGUGAAAAGCCCGCUCGCCGGAAGACCAAGGGUUCCUGUCCAACGUUAAUCGGGGCAGGGUGAGUCGACCCCUAAGGCGAGGCCGAAAGGCGUAGUCGAUGGGAAACGGGUUAAUAUUCCCGUACUUGGUGUUACUGCGAAGGGGGGACGGAGAAGGCUAUGUUGGCCGGGCGACGGUUGUCCCGGUUUAAGCGUGUAGGCUGGUUUUCCAGGCAAAUCCGGAAAAUCAAGGC
RNAcentral lists this ribosomal RNA (926 nucleotides) under Salmonella enterica subsp. enterica serovar Infantis. RNAcentral's name for it is "partial 23S ribosomal RNA". It matches the Rfam family "Bacterial large subunit ribosomal RNA", at positions 711 to 1556 of the family's 2925-position model. Lineage: Bacteria; Pseudomonadati; Pseudomonadota; Gammaproteobacteria; Enterobacterales; Enterobacteriaceae. The record is from RNAcentral.